Long non-coding RNA from Hipposideros armiger (great roundleaf bat), 590 nucleotides. RefSeq lists it as uncharacterized. The transcript is spliced from 4 exons. The record is from RefSeq and is a predicted model, not a curated record. Lineage: Eukaryota; Metazoa; Chordata; Mammalia; Chiroptera; Hipposideridae.
CGCCUCUGCUCACCAGCUGGCAAUCUGUUUGGACCCAGCUCCGCCCUCGCCCCUUCUUUCGCCCUCGCUCCUUCUUUCCCCCAGUUCCUCAGCCUUUGCCUCACCCUCUUGAGGUAUCUACUCCCUCCUGGUUUAAUUCCCGUAGCUCAGGGACCCCAGCGCCAGCCCAUCUGAGUUACACACCAGGUGUCAUCGCAUGCACGACAGCAGCAACGCAAAGGGAGCCCCCACCAGGCUGCUCCCCCAGAGGGAGGUGGGGCCCGAAUAGAAGAGGCACAGGGGAUGACGUGGAGGGCCAGCAGAAGCCUCAAGCCAGGAGGCGGGUCAGACCUGGAGAAGGAGCCCAGUGAGAAUGCAGAGAGCUCACCGAGGGGGCAGCCAUCCACACAUCUAGAGCUCCUUGGGACCCACCCAGAAGAGAAGAGAAAGAAGAGUGAGAAGAGGCCUUUGGGGUACAGAAAGGAAUGCUUGGGGUUCAGAGAGGCUGGAGGGAGAUGGGAGAGAGAAAUCCUAGAUGGGAGUUUGCUGGCUGGUGGUUUCCUUCUUCCCAGAUUCUGCUGUGCCUGGGGAACCCUCUGAGAAAUUGUAAG